UACGAAGGGGGCUAGCGUUGCUCGGAAUCACUGGGCGUAAAGGGUGCGUAGGCGGCUUGUUAAGUCAGGGGUGAAAUCCUGGAGCUCAACUCCAGAACUGCCUUUGAUACUGGCGAGCUUGAGUCCGGGAGAGGUGAGUGGAACUGCGAGUGUAGAGGUGAAAUUCGUGGAUAUUCGCAAGAACACCAGUGGCGAAGGCGGCUCACUGGCCCGGUACUGACGCUGAGGUGCGAAAGCGUGGGGAGCAAACAGG
This 253-nucleotide ribosomal RNA is filed under the name uncultured bacterium. RNAcentral's name for it is "partial 16S ribosomal RNA". It matches the Rfam family "Bacterial small subunit ribosomal RNA", at positions 524 to 776 of the family's 1533-position model. The record is from RNAcentral.